Molecule: transfer RNA, 75 nt
Filed under: Candidatus Berkelbacteria bacterium
Lineage: Bacteria; Candidatus Berkelbacteria
Description: tRNA-Phe
Rfam family: tRNA
About the family: Transfer RNA (tRNA) molecules are approximately 80 nucleotides in length.
Source: RNAcentral
GCCGGAGUAGCUCAGUGGUAGAGCAGUGGCCUGAAGAGCCUCGUGUCGUCAGUUCGAUUCUGACCUCCGGCACGA